This 253-nucleotide ribosomal RNA is filed under the name uncultured bacterium. RNAcentral describes it as "partial 16S ribosomal RNA". It matches the Rfam family "Bacterial small subunit ribosomal RNA", at positions 524 to 776 of the family's 1533-position model. The record is from RNAcentral.
CACGUAGGGCGCAAGCGUUGUCCGGAAUUAUUGGGCGUAAAGAGCUCGUAGGCGGCUUGUCACGUCGGGUGUGAAAGCCCGGGGCUUAACCCCGGGUCUGCAUUCGAUACGGGCUAGCUAGAGUGUGGUAGGGGAGACCGGAAUUCCUGGUGUAGCGGUGAAAUGCGCAGAUAUCAGGAGGAACACCGGUGGCGAAGGCGGAUCUCUGGGCCAUUACUGACGCUGAGGAGCGAAAGCGUGGGGAGCGAACAGG